GGCUACUAUGUUGGACAGCUGAGGCUAAAGCUUAUCUGGCAGCUGAGAACCCUUGCUGAGCAGGCACUAUGGUAUCAGCCACAAGAAGGAAAGCUGGGAGCCCCUCUGAGUGCAACCAUUUUGUUGCAGAUGCCUUGAAGAAUCUGGACAGCAGAAUGCUCAGGCAUCAGAUGGUUCCCUCCACAUGAAUGUACCUGAGCAGCCAUGACAACUUCUGUAAUGUCACCAAAGGAGCGGAAGGAACUCAGAAAGUCCUGCCAGAACUCUUUGCUCUCCCUCCCUCCACUGCUUUGCUUUGUGUCAGUUCCUGUGAGAUUCUCAUUUGCAGUGAAGCAAGAGGGAAGAGUGCUGGCACUGUAGAGAUAUGGUGGCAAAAGCCUCG
RNAcentral lists this long non-coding RNA (382 nucleotides) under Heterocephalus glaber (naked mole-rat). RNAcentral's name for it is "lncRNA (ENSHGLG00000047926.1)". The record is from RNAcentral. Lineage: Eukaryota; Metazoa; Chordata; Mammalia; Rodentia; Bathyergidae.